RNAcentral lists this ribosomal RNA (460 nucleotides) under uncultured bacterium. Its description in RNAcentral is "partial 16S ribosomal RNA". It matches the Rfam family "Bacterial small subunit ribosomal RNA", at positions 338 to 795 of the family's 1533-position model. The record is from RNAcentral.
CCUACGGGUGGCAGCAGUGAGGAAUAUUGGUCAAUGGACGAAAGUCUGAACCAGCCAAGUAGCGUGAAGGAUGACUGCCCUAUGGGUUGUAAACUUCUUUUAUAAAGGAAUAAAACGAGGCACGUGUGCCUUUUUGCAUGUACUUUAUGAAUAAGGAUCGGCUAACUCCGUGCCAGCAGCCGCGGUAAUACGGAGGAUACGAGCGUUAUCCGGAUUUAUUGGGUUUGAAGGGAGCGUAGAUGGGUUGUUAAGUCAGUUGUGAAAGUUUGCGGCUCAACCGUAAAAUUGCAAUUGAUACUGGCAGUCUUGAGUGCAGUUGAGGAAAGCGGAAUUCGAGGUGUAGCGGUGAAAUGCUUAGAUAUCACGAAGAACACCGAUUGCGAAGGCAGCUUACUAAACUGUGACUGACGUUGAGGCUCGAAAGUGUGGGUAGCAAACAGGAUUAGAUACCCGUGUAGUC